AAACUCAGCCCAGUUCAGCAAUAGACGGGUUUAUAAGAAGAUACCCAGUCUGGAGUCAGACGUUUAAUUAACUUAAUGAUUAUAAUUAUUAGUAGGGUUAUUACGAAGUCUUUCUGCUGUGUUUUAUUAUAGUUUAUAACUAUCUACUAUCCACUUAGGAUGCCAUAGACACACUUAUUCUUCUUCUUCUGCUACUACAACUACUACUACUAUUACAACUAUAGCCAGAUAUACGUACCAGGGAGUUGAAGCUCUCUCUCUCUCUACUAAUCUCUCUGUUCCUUCUAGGGAGUUGAAGCUCUCUCUCUCUCUACUAAUCUCUAUGUUCCUUCCAGGGGAGUUGUAGAUCUCUCUCGCUCUCUCUCUCUCUCUCUACUGAUCUCUCUGUUCCUUCCAGGGGAGUUGUAGUGAGAGGUUUGGCCCGUCAUAUGAUUCAUGGACAGACAGACAGACAGACAGACAGGCAGACAGACAGGGAGGCAGGCAGGCAGACAGACAGACCAGGAGAGAGAGAGAUAGAUCAGGAGAGAGAGAGAUAGAGAGGAGGAGGAUUCAGGAGAGAGAGAGAUAGAGAGGAGGAGGAAUCAGGAGAGAGAGGGGAGGAGGAAUCAGGAGAGAGAGAUCGAGAGGAGGAGGAAUCAGGAGAGAGAGAGAUAGAGGAGGAGGAAUCAGGAGAGAGAUAGAGAGGAGGAGGAAUCAGGAGAGAGAGAUAGAGAGAGGAGGAGGAAUCAGGAGAGAGAGAUAGAGAGGAGGAGGAAUCAGGAGAGAGAGAUAGAGAGGAGGAGGAAUCAGGAGAGAGAGAUAGAGGAGUAGGAAUCAGGAGAGAGAUAGAGAGGAGGAGGAAUCAGGAGAGAGAGAUAGAGAGGAGGAGGAAUCAGGAGAGAGAGAUAGAGGAGUAGGAAUCAGGAGAGAGAUAGAGAGGAGGAGGAAUCAGGAGAGAGAGAGAGAGGAGGAGGAAUCAGGAGAGAGAGAGAUAGAGAGGAGGAGGAAUCAGGACAGAGAGAUAGAGAUGAGGAGGAAUCAGGAGAGAGAGAGAUAGAGAGGAGGAGGAAUCAGGACAGAGAGAUAGAGAUGAGGAGGAAUCAGGAGAGAGAGAGAUAGAGAGGAGGAGGAAUCAGGAGAGAGAUAGAGAUGAGGAGGAAUCAGGAGAGAGAGAUAGAGAGGAGCAGGAAUUAGAGAGAGAGAUGUAGAGGAGGUAGAAUUAGGAGAGAUAGAGAGGAGGUGGAAUCAGGAGAUAUAUAUAGAGAGGAGGAGAAGGAGUCAGGUAAGAGAGAGAUAGAAACAAGGAGGAAUCAGGAGAGAGGGAAAUGGAGAGGAGGGGGAAUCAGGAGAGAGAUAUAGAGAGGAGGAGGAAUCAGAGAGAGAGAGAUAGAGGGAGGAGGAAUCAGGAGAGCGAGAUAGAGAGGAAGAGGAAUCAGGAGAGAGAGAUAGUUAGGAGGAGGAAUCAGGAGAGAGAUAGAGAGGAGGAGGAAUCACGAGAGAGAUAUAGUGGAGAAGGAUUCAGGAGAGAGAGAGGAGGAGGAAUCAGGAGAGAUAGAUAGAGAGGAGGAGGAAUCAGGAGAGAGAUAGAGAGGAGGAGGAAUCAGGAGAGAAAGAUAGAGAUGAGGAGGAAUCAGGAGCGAGAUAGAGAGGAGGAGGACUCAGGAGAGAGAGAGAGAUAGAGAGGAGGAGGAAUCAGGAGAGAGAGAUAGAGAUGAGGAGGAAUCAGGAGAGAGAGAUAGAGAUGAGGAGGAAUCCGGAGAGAGAGAUAGAGAGGAGCAGGAAUUAGGAGAGAGAGAUGUAGAGGAGGAGGAAUCAGGAGAGAGAUGGAGAGGAGAAGGAAUCAGGAGAGAGAGAUAGAGAGGAGGAGGAAUCAGGAGAGAGAUUGAGAUGAGAAGAAAUCAGGAGAGAGAGAUGGAGAGGAGGGUGAAUCAGGAGAGAGGGAGAUAGAGAGGAGGAGGAAUCAGGAUAGAGGGAGAUAGAGAGGAGGAGGAAUCAUGAUAGAGAGAUGGAGAGGACGACGAAUCAGGAGAGAGAUAGAGAGGAGGUGGAAUCAGGAGAUAUAUAUAGAGAGGAGGAGGAGUCAGGUAAGAGAGAGAUAGAAACAAGGAGGAAUCAGGAGAGAGGGAAAUGGAGAUCAGGGGGAAUCAGGAGAGAGAUAGAUAGAGACAAUGAUGAUUCAGGAGAGAAAGAGAGAGGAGGAUGAAUCAGGAGGGAGAGAUAGAGAGGAGGAGGAAUCAGGACAGAGAGAUAGAGAUGAGGAGGAAUCAGGAGAGAGAGAGAUAGAGAGGAGGAGGAAUCAGGAGAGAGAUAGAGAUGAGGAGGAAUCAGGAGAGAGAGAUGUAGAGGAGGUAGAAUUAGGAGAGAUAGAGAGGAGGUGGAAUCAGGAGAUAUAUAUAGAGAGGAGGAGGAGUCAGGUAAGAGAGAGAUAGAAACAAGGAGGAAUCAGGAGAGAGGGAAAUGGAGAGCAGGGGGAAUCAGGAGAGAGAUAGAUAGAGACAAUGAUGAUUCAGGAGAGAAAGAGAGAGGAGGAUGAAUCAGGAGGGAGAGAUAGAGAGGAGGAGGUAUCAGGAGAGAGAUAGAGAGGAGGAGGAAUCAGCAGAGAGAGAAAGAGAGGAGGAGGAAUCAGGAGAGAUAGAGAGAUAGAGAGGAGGAGGAAUCAGGAGAGAGAUAGAUGGAGAGGAGGAGGAAUCAGGAGAGAUAGAGAGGAGGAGGAAUCAGGAUAGAAAGAGAUAGAGAGGAGGAGGAAUCAGGUGAGAGAGAGGAGGAGGAAUCAGAGAGAGAGAUAGAGAGGAGGAUGUAUCAGGAGAGAGAGAAAGAGAGGAGGAGGAAUCAGGAGAGAGAGAGGAGGAGGAAUCAGAGAGAGAGAGAGGAGGAGGAAUCAGGAGAGAGAGAGAUAGAGGGGAGGAGGAAUCAGGAGAGAGGGAGAUAGAGAGGAGGAGGAAUCAGGAGAGAGAGAGGAGGAGGAAUCAGGAGAGAGAGAGGAGGAAUCAGUAGAGAGAGAUAGGAUGUGGACAGUUGGAAGGGAGGAGGGGG
Molecule: long non-coding RNA, 3015 nt
Organism: Oncorhynchus tshawytscha (Chinook salmon)
Lineage: Eukaryota; Metazoa; Chordata; Actinopteri; Salmoniformes; Salmonidae
Source: Ensembl